UUAAUACUCUAUCCAUUUGGAAUUACUUGUCGCGUCAAUGGAUACAAAUAAAUGUAUCUAGAAAUAAAAUACAUCUAGAUAUAUCCAUUUUUAUGACAAGUAUUUCCAGACGGAAAGAGUAGUUU
Hordeum vulgare subsp. vulgare (domesticated barley) is the source of this 125-nucleotide non-coding RNA. The record is from Rfam. Lineage: Eukaryota; Viridiplantae; Streptophyta; Magnoliopsida; Poales; Poaceae.